GCCUGGGUGGCUCAGUUGGUUGAGCGUCCGACUUCGGCUCAGGUCAUGAUCUCACGGUUUGCGGGUUCAAGCCCUGCAUCAGGCU
Molecule: non-coding RNA, 85 nt
Organism: Felis catus (domestic cat)
Lineage: Eukaryota; Metazoa; Chordata; Mammalia; Carnivora; Felidae
Source: Rfam